This 354-nucleotide unclassified non-coding RNA is filed under the name soil metagenome. Its description in RNAcentral is "partial contains 5.8S ribosomal RNA, internal transcribed spacer 2, and large subunit ribosomal RNA". The stretch from base 1 to 120 matches the Rfam family "5.8S ribosomal RNA", at positions 35 to 154 of the family's 154-position model. The record is from RNAcentral.
GAUGAAGAACGUAGCGAAAUGCGAUAAGUAAUGUGAAUUGCAGAAUUCAGUGAAUCAUCGAAUCUUUGAACGCACAUUGCGCCCGCCAGUAUUCUGGCGGGCAUGCCUGUCCGAGCGUCAUUUCAACCCUCGAACCCCUCCGGGGGGUCGGCGUUGGGGAUCGGCCCUGCCUCUGGCGGUGGCCGUCUCCGAAAUACAGUGGCGGUCUCGCCGCAGCCUCUCCUGCGCAGUAGUUUGAACACUCGCAUCGGGAGCGCGGCGCGUCCACAGCCGUUAAACACCCAACUUCUGAAAUGUUGACCUCGGAUCAGGUAGGAAUACCCGCUGAACUUAAGCAUAUCAAUAAGCGGAGGA